GAAACCCCCUGCGUACGCAACUAGCCAUGUGUAAUAAUGAAAUGGUGUGUUUCAUUAUUUUUUUUGAUAGGUAAACAAAGAAAUUAAGAAUGGUGUGUUUCAUUAUUACACAACGCUAAUAUGAAAUGUGGCUUCAAUUCGACAGCUUCUUGUGCAAACUUCUUGGGUUGAAGACGAAGAGAACCACAAAGACGAAAGAUUGUGAAAAUGAGAGAUGUUCUUUUGUAAAAAAGCUGCAAAAGAAUGCACUGGUAGAGAAUAACAAGACAAAGACUCUUGAUGUGUCUCAAAAUGGCAGCAAAGUUAGUAAACCACAAGGUAAGAACAUAUCGAUGAUGAACAGAAUACUAAAAAGUAGUUGGAAGCAGAACAUAUCAAUACAAGCACUUUGGUUUGUGAUCAGAAAAAGCUUGUACAAGAGGAGGACAUUUCAUUAAGUGAUCUAGAGGAUGAUGAUAACAAUCUCUCUAAUAGACUAUCAGGUCUUAACUCAACUGGGAAACCAAGGUUUCUUCACUAGGUGGAUGCAAUGACUGGGUCCAACUGAAGGGAAGUCCCGAGUCUCAAGUUGGUGGUGGCCAGCAAAAGGUAGGCAAAUCAAAUUCUCGAGAUAACGACUCAGAAGGUGAAGAGUCAAAUAAUUGGCUUACUAUCAAUGAUUUCGAUUAAAGAGUUAGUUUUAUUCCUUAUUUAUUGUAAAGUUUAUAAUUUUUUUUUUCUUUGGGGGUCCGUGAUUAUGAACUCAAAUCAAUAUCAUAAGGUUGUUUGUUAAGUUGGUAAUCAAUUCUUCAUUUAUAAAAUAUUUAUUGUUAAAUGACCAUAUUUAGGGUGUUUAAACUUUGUGCAGUUGGGUUUACUCUAUACUUCAUUUGAACGAGUGAAAGAGUUAUUGAGAUUGUUCCAAAUUAGAAAUUAAACAUUGAUGUUGUCAA
Molecule: long non-coding RNA, 932 nt
Organism: Carya illinoinensis
Lineage: Eukaryota; Viridiplantae; Streptophyta; Magnoliopsida; Fagales; Juglandaceae
Exons: 2
Source: RefSeq, a predicted model, not a curated record